CCGUAGGAAUACGGGCUAGCAAAAAAAAAAGAAAGUGAUUUUUCCCUUUCAGACUGAAAAGGUACUGAAUCAUUCUAGAACAAGAGGAAAGUGGGGGAAAUCUAUCAUCGACGAAUCCUAAAAUUU
This is a non-coding RNA of Caenorhabditis elegans, 126 nucleotides long. The record is from Ensembl. NCBI's taxonomy places the organism in Eukaryota, Metazoa, Nematoda, Chromadorea, Rhabditida, Rhabditidae.